GCUCCCCACCGCGAUGACCGCCCACAUCCUCAUGCUGUUGCUCCUCACCUCUGCUCUAGGGGACUCGGCCUCCGCAGGCAGGUGAGAAAGGCCAGUAGCGGGAGGGAAGGAGACCACGAGGGGUGUGCGCCCUCUUCCAGUCGGCUUUCCUCUUCCGCGGGCUGGGUAGGCGAUCUGUAAGCGCGCCCCGCUUACUCUCGGAGUUGUGGGUGCCCCUCUGCACACCAUAUCUGAAGUGGGUUCUGCUUGAGCCCGCUCUUCUACGCUCCCUCCUCAGGCGGCUCUGGCACCUGGUACCCCAGCACCGCGGCCGCCUCUGCUCCCUGGGCACAUGUCAGACGCACCGCCUGCCGGAGAUUAUAUACUGGCUGCGCUCUGCCUCCACCAAGGAGUCCUCGGGGAAGGCUGGCCGCAAGCCCCAGGACCCGCAUAGCUAUGGGCGCCGCCGGCGCGAGGCAGGAGCCCUGCUUCAUCCCCAGGACCCAGGCCGUCAGCAAGGGGGCCAGGACAGUGCCCAGCUUAUGGGGUGACCUCAGCACUUCUCUGCUCCUGCCCUGGCUUCAGUGUGUCCGCCUGUGUAGGAAGGCUACUAUCCCCAAGUUUCUUCUCCCCUUGGGGUCGUCUUCCCCAGCCUCUCUCCAGACUGCGACCGGGCUGUACCCAGAACCAGCCUGGACAGAACACUAACGUCCAGAGCUUAAUAAACCAAAGAGUUUCAUGUUUGUC
Molecule: long non-coding RNA, 726 nt
Filed under: Marmota monax (woodchuck)
Lineage: Eukaryota; Metazoa; Chordata; Mammalia; Rodentia; Sciuridae
Source: RNAcentral